RNAcentral lists this microRNA (22 nucleotides) under Dasypus novemcinctus (nine-banded armadillo). RNAcentral describes it as "dno-miR-2355-3p". The record is from miRBase by way of RNAcentral. Lineage: Eukaryota; Metazoa; Chordata; Mammalia; Cingulata; Dasypodidae.
UGUCCUUGGUGUUUGGAGAUAA